RNAcentral lists this ribosomal RNA (431 nucleotides) under uncultured bacterium. RNAcentral's name for it is "bacterial SSU rRNA". It matches the Rfam family "Bacterial small subunit ribosomal RNA", at positions 355 to 796 of the family's 1533-position model. The record is from RNAcentral.
UCGAGGAUCUUCGGCAAUGGGCGCAAGCCUGACCGAGCGACGCCGCGUGUGCGAUGAAGGCCUUCGGGUUGUAAAGCACUGUCGAGGGGGAGGAAGCCGCAAGGUUGACCUAUCCCUGGAGGAAGCACGGGCUAAGUUCGUGCCAGCAGCCGCGGUAAGACGAACCGUGCGAACGUUGUUCGGAAUCACUGGGCUUAAAGGGCGCGUAGGCGGGUGAUCAAGUCUGGGGUGAAAUCUUUCGGCUUAACCGGAAAACAGCCUCGGAUACUGGUCGUCUCGAGUGAGGUAGGGGCAGCUGGAACUUCCGGUGGAGCGGUGAAAUGCGUUGAUAUCGGAAGGAACGCCGGUGGCGAAAGCGAGCUGCUGGACCUCUUCUGACGCUGAGGCGCGAAAGCCAGGGGAGCAAACGGGAUUAGAUACCCCCGUAGUCC